GACGAACGCUGGCGGCGUGCCUAAUACAUGCAAGUCGAACGAACGGAUAAAGAGCUUGCUCUUUUGAAGUUAGUGGCGGACGGGUGAGUAACACGUGGGUAACCUGCCUCACAGCUGGGGAUAACAUCGAGAAAUCGAUGCUAAUACCGAAUGUGCUGAACAUCAUAAGAUGUUCAAGUGAAAGACGGUUUCGGCUGUCACUGUGAGAUGGACCCGCGCUGGAUUAGCUAGUUGGUAAGGUAAUGGCUUACCAAGGCGACGAUCCAUAGCCGACCUGAGAGGGUGAUCGGCCACAUUGGGACUGAGACACGGCCCAAACGCCUAAGGGAGGCAGCAGUAGGGAAUCUUCGGCAAUGGACGAAAGUCUGACCGAGCAACGCCGCGUGAGCGAAGAAGGCCUUCGGGUCGUAAAGCUCUGUUGUUAGAGAAGAACAUGGGUGAGAGUAACUGUUCACCCCUUGACGGUAUCUAACCAGAAAGCCACGGCUAACUACGUG
Molecule: ribosomal RNA, 497 nt
Filed under: uncultured bacterium
Lineage: Bacteria
Description: partial 16S ribosomal RNA
Rfam family: Bacterial small subunit ribosomal RNA
Source: RNAcentral